AGAUAAGUCUUCAAAGUACAAGUUAAACUCAUGGCUAGGGCCUUAGCAUCGAUUUAGGUCAAGUUGGGUGAUUUGAAUGUCCUCUGGUGCACAAAUCAUAUCGAAUAUGUGCCAUUAGAGCACAUAUUUUGGCUUCAAUCAACCAUCCUUUUGGAAUCUAUUUAACUCCUUGUGGAAUGUUAGAUACCAUUAAGAAUCUCUAGUGGAUCAAGCAAAUGAAUUGGAUCGAUAGGCUUGUUUGAAGAGGGAGAUGUCAAGAAUGUUUAUGGUCGAGUGAUUAUGGGAUGUGCGAAAUUUGGAAAUGUCAGGUGUGAAGCAAAAUUCAAAAUGAAAUGAAAUAGGAGAGAAUGGUAGAAUGGGUGAGCCACCCAUUCAAGAAUAGAGGAAGCAAGUAGGUUUUCUAUGACAAUCUGCUGAAAGAAAAGAUGUUUCAUCAUAUUGAUGAUAACAGGAAGUACUGAUGCACUCAGAGUGUUUAUCCAGAUUGAAUGUGUCUUUGCUAGAUCAAUUUGUGUGCAUAGAUAUAGAAAUAUGUGUAAAUAUAAUCCAAAGCUAUGAAGCUCGUAGUCUUGAACCUGUUCAUCUUAUUCACAAACCCUUUCCAAUUGUGGUGGAGACGGGAUGAGUCAAUUCAUUGGGCCCAUUACCAUCCAUCUCUAAACAAAACUAUAAUGUGGGAUUCCAUCCAAAACCAUCAAGGUGUAUUAUCAUGGAAAACAAUUUGUUUUUUGUCCCUUUACUAUGACUCUCCAUCUUGAUCUUGAGCAUGAGGAAGUUCCUUAUUAGGAUGCUACUAUAAUUUGAGAAAAUUUUAAACAUUUAAUUUUGAUGCUUUUGUGCUCCAUCAAUAUUCACAAGUUCUGUGUAUGUCUACUGAUGAUUCUCAACCAUAAACUGAAUCUACCACUUUGUUGUUGACUGUAAAGAAAAUCGUUUUGCCAUCCAUGGGAACCUAUAUUGACCACCAGCCAUGCUACUGGCUAUAAUAGAUCUGGAACAUUGUUACAAUGAAAUUUGAUCUGCAGUAAAGUAGCAUGGUUGGGCAAAACAAACAAUAACCCCUCCCUGCAUCAAUAUUCAGCAACCUGUAUGUGUUUAACCAGAAUUUCUUGGAUCAUGAUUUAUCAAUUUGAGCUGUGCUUGGAGGGAUUGAAGAGCUAAAAGAUCUGUUGAAGAUUGACUGGAAAAAAAUUGAUGGUUCCAUGGAUAGUGAGCUGUAUUUUAGCUACAGGUUUCUGGGAUUGAAGAGCCAAAAAGACCCAUUGAAAGGGUCGGUCCUAGAAAAAUGUUUACGGCUCUAUGGAUUUGCGCUGCACAUUGGACUACUUACAGAGCAACUGCUUCCAAAAGGAAUUAUUCAAAUUGCAGAAUGUUAGUUUCUUCCUGGAGCUGGAAGAAACACAGCCUCCACAAUUGCUCUGUGUUGGACAACAAUUGCUACUGAAGUGAUUCUAGUUGCUUCCAAAAAGAAUUAUCCAAAUUGCGGAAUGCUAGUUUCUUCCUGGAAGAUCCAUAGCCUCCACAACUGCUCUGUAUUGGGCAACCAUUGCUACUGAAGUGAUUCUGGGAUGCUGGUGGAAAUUUAGAUGAUGGGGGUAUCAUAGCUGGACAAACAAUCUAUGGAUGCCACUGUAAGAAUCUUAACACCCCAUUUCACUACACUUCUGCAGGAUCACCUUCUAGGAUAAGGUUUAAUAAGAAAGAAAAUAAUUCUCAUAAUGGUUUCGAAUACAGCAUUCUGAUUUUUGCAUCUCAUGUUGGAGGAACGUGUUCUUGUUUCAAGCUAGUUACAAGUUGUCUCAUGUUGUUCUAAGUGCUUGAUUGAUUGUGUACAGAACAGAAAUCUGAGUCAAAUGUUAGGCUUGUUUAGCUCACCCUCCUGCAGAAUUUAUCAAUCAUCUACCUAGUUAAGUAAUUGCAGUAAUAUAUGGUGGCCCAUGAUCUAGCUCAACGAUGGUGUCCUCUGGCAAUAAAUCAUGACAUAGGAAAGAGAGGUGGGCUCAUAUGACUUGCUUAUUCUCAAAUGUCAUUUCACUAUUUGAACAUGUUACAAAUUAGGCACUUUCUGGAAAUCUGGAAAAUCAUGGAGUCUUGUCUAUUUUCACUGUUAAACCAAAUCUGAAGAGACUUGAAUCUGAAAAAAUAAAUCAUAGUUAAUGUGUCCUGCUGA
Vitis riparia (riverbank grape) is the source of this 2170-nucleotide long non-coding RNA. RefSeq lists it as uncharacterized. The transcript has 2 exons. NCBI's taxonomy places the organism in Eukaryota, Viridiplantae, Streptophyta, Magnoliopsida, Vitales, Vitaceae. The record is from RefSeq and is a predicted model, not a curated record.